This 112-nucleotide small nuclear RNA is filed under the name Bos grunniens (domestic yak). RNAcentral also lists the same sequence under 1 other name. Lineage: Eukaryota; Metazoa; Chordata; Mammalia; Artiodactyla; Bovidae. The record is from RNAcentral.
GAGCUCAAAGAUAAAAGGCAGGCACAUAUACUAAAACUGGGAUGACCAGAGGAGAUCAGCAUGGCCCCUGCACAAGGAUAACAUGCAAAUCUGUGAAGCAUUCCAUUUCUUU